RNAcentral lists this small nuclear RNA (22 nucleotides) under Arabidopsis thaliana (thale cress). Its description in RNAcentral is "snRNA_11285". Lineage: Eukaryota; Viridiplantae; Streptophyta; Magnoliopsida; Brassicales; Brassicaceae. The record is from RNAcentral.
AUUUAGAUUCUCUAUAAAUACU